Molecule: long non-coding RNA, 296 nt
Filed under: Hordeum vulgare
Lineage: Eukaryota; Viridiplantae; Streptophyta; Magnoliopsida; Poales; Poaceae
Description: long non-coding RNA (HVUL_LNC018551)
Source: RNAcentral
CCUGAGCGCGAUGGUUGUGCUUUUGGAGUUUCUUCUUCUUCUUCUUCUACUUCUUCGUCAAUCUACGAUGGGUUCCAGGUCGGUAGCUUGGGAUAGCAAGGAUGGAUAUCGUGCUUUUCUCGUUUGUUUUUGUCCAUAGACGGACCCUGCUCUUCUUCAUGAUGAUUGUAUGAAUUGUACUCAUGUGACUCUGAUGUAGCUUGUGGUGAGUGGAAGCCAACUCCUUAUACUCAUCUUUUCAGUACAUGUACUUGUAACGAUAUCCAUUCUUGCAAAACGACGAGAUGCAUUUCUAU